UGAGCUUGAUCCUGGCUCAGGACGAACGCUGGCGGCGUGCCUAAUACAUGCAAGUCGAGCGCAGGAAGCCGGCAGAUCCCUUCGGGGUGAAGCCGGUGGAAUGAGCGGCGGACGGGUGAGUAACACGUGGGCAACCUACCUUGUAGACUGGGAUAACUCCGGGAAACCGGGGCUAAUACCGGAUGAUCAUUUGGAUCGCAUGAUCCGAAUGUAAAAGUGGGGAUUUAUCCUCACACUGCAAGAUGGGCCCGCGGCGCAUUAGCUAGUUGGUAAGGUAAUGGCUUACCAAGGCGACGAUGCGUAGCCGACCUGAGAGGGUGAUCGGCCACACUGGAACUGAGACACGGUCCAGACUCCUACGGGAGGCAGCAGUAGGGAAUCAUCCGCAAUGGGCGAAAGCCUGACGGUGCAACGCCGCGUGAACGAUGAAGGUUUUCGGAUCGUAAAGUUCUGUUAUGAGGGAAGAACAAGUGCCGUUCGAAUAGGUCGGCACCUUGACGGUACCUCACGAGAAGCCCG
RNAcentral lists this ribosomal RNA (519 nucleotides) under Bacillus sp. M10-C16. Its description in RNAcentral is "bacterial SSU rRNA". It matches the Rfam family "Bacterial small subunit ribosomal RNA", at positions 1 to 494 of the family's 1533-position model. Lineage: Bacteria; Bacillati; Bacillota; Bacilli; Caryophanales; Bacillaceae. The record is from RNAcentral.